This 478-nucleotide ribosomal RNA is filed under the name uncultured bacterium. RNAcentral describes it as "partial 16S ribosomal RNA". It matches the Rfam family "Bacterial small subunit ribosomal RNA", at positions 28 to 506 of the family's 1533-position model. The record is from RNAcentral.
GAUGAACGCUAGCGGGAGGCCUAACACAUGCAAGCCGAGCGGUAUUGUUUCUUCGGAAAUGAGAGAGCGGCGUACGGGUGCGUAACACGUGUGCAACCUGCCUUUAUCUGGGGGAUAGCCUUUCGAAAGGAAGAUUAAUACUCCAUAAUAUAUUGAACGGCAUCGUUUAAUAUUGAAAGCUCCGGCGGAUAGAGAUGGGCACGCGCAAGAUUAGCUAGUUGGUGAGGUAACGGCUCACCAAGGCGAUGAUCUUUAGGGGGCCUGAGAGGGUGAUCCCCCAAACUGGUACUGGGACACGGACCAGACUCCCACGGGGGGAAGCAGUGAGGAAUAUUGGUCAAUGGGUGCAAGCCUAAACCAGCCAUCCCGCGUGAAGGACGACUGCCCUAUGGGUUUUAAACUUUUUUUUUAAAGGGAAAAACCCACCCCCGGGAGGGUAGCUGAAGGUACUAAACGAAUAAGCACCGGCAAACCCCGU